AAGGAGAGAGAGAGAGACAAAGGGAGACAGACAGAGACAGGGGGAGGGGAGGGGAGGGGAGGAAAGAGGAGAGGAGAGGAAGGGAAGUAAGGGAGGUGUAGCUCACCCUGGAAUUGAACUCACUAUGUAGCCCAGGCUGGCCUUGAAAUCACAGUGACCCUCCUGCCUCAGCCUCCUGAGUGCUGGCAUUACAGGUGUAUGCUACCACAUCCCCCUUGUUUUGCUCUGGGCUGUAAGAUGGCUGAGGUGGUGAAGGGGCCACAAGUUGAACAAUACAAGUGAGCUCUAGAAACUAAAAAAGAUGACAACUAGAUGCUCCCCUAGAGUUUCCAGAAGGAAUGUAACCCUCACGCAUUUUGAUUUUAGAGGUCUGAUUUCCAUAUCGUGAAUAAAAUACAUUUGUACUUUUUAAACCACUAACUUGAUACUAAUUUGUUACAGCAGUGAUACUCCAUAAAUAAUUUUUUUCUCAUCUUAUUCUCUUGUUUUCUUCUUGAUUCUUUUUUUUUUUUUUCUUUUUUGAGACAGGCUCUCACUGUACAGUUCAGGCCCAUCUUGAACUCACUUUGUAGCCCAGGCUGGCUGUGAACUCACAAUGAUCCUCCUGCCUCAGCCUCCUGAGUGCUGGGAUUACACAUAUGCACCACCACGUCCGGCUCUUGAUUAAUUUCUUGCGCUCCCCAUAUCCUCCCUGAGACCCAAAGCAGUCCUCCAACCUUCAGCGUGGCCCCCUUCCGGUUGAGAAUGAAGUUCAGAAACUCAGGAGAGUGUCUCUGGACCGAGGAUGCUUAGUCCUGAGGUAGUAGGAGGCCAGACCCCGCAACAUGGCUGAGCAGCGCACCUACAAACCCAGGAGACUCCUGACCACGGCCGCAGAGCAGCCGCACCCAAGGCUGACGAGGGGUCACACUGAGCCCAGCACAGGAAAACCCCAGCGAGGCAGAGGAUGGCAACCACCACAGGCCAUGAGCAGCAGUAAGAAGUCACCAUGCAGCGGUGGCUCCCUUGCCUCUGUGUGCAGCACGCCAGCAGGGAGAAGGAGCAAUGUGUUUCUCAGGUUUCCUGUCAGGACAUCCUGGUUUGAGACACAGGACUGUCACUGUCAAAAUAAAAGCUAACUGACAGACAGGAAACUGCCUGGUCACGUCCUUGAGAAUCCCAGAACUCUGUCAGCUUGCAAAAUACUGGGUAAAAGUAAGUAUGGAAAUCCUGUGUUCCAAUGAAUGACAAAUAGUUUUUCUUCCAGGCAAAGAGGAGCUUAGGAACACAGGGGCAGGAAGUGGUUCCAGGAAUCUGGCCUGGGGUAGGCUCCAUGCACAGACGCCAGGCAGCAGGUUUGGAGGAUCUUUGUCAUAAGGAUGUGGCCAACUCAGGGUACAAGGUUACUACAUAAGCGGCAGACCCCGUUCUGAUUGUGACUCUGAAGGUUACUUGUUAGUUCCCCAAUGCUUUUGGGCCCCGCAUGCCUCACCACCUGGCACUGUGCAGUAUAAGCAGUCUUGGGAGUGUGGGGGAAUGUGAAGGGGAAGCCAUGAAAAACAGGGUGUAGGCUAGGGCCCUGCACUUUGGGCAUGAUAGUCACGGCAAGUUUAGGAUCAGACAGAAUGUUCAUCUGUUCAUUAAUUAGUAUUAUUAUUAUUUGUUGUUGUUGUUUUGAGACAGUCUUGCUUUGUAGUUCAGGCUGACUUGAACUCACAAUGUAACCCAGGCUGGCCUUGAACUUGUGGCAAUCCUCCUGCCUCAGCCCCUCAGGUGGUGGGAUUACAGCCAUAUCUCACCACGCCCAGCUUCCAUUCAUUAAUUCAUUCAUUCACU
This 1815-nucleotide long non-coding RNA is filed under the name Chinchilla lanigera (long-tailed chinchilla). RNAcentral's name for it is "lncRNA (ENSCLAG00000023155.1)". Lineage: Eukaryota; Metazoa; Chordata; Mammalia; Rodentia; Chinchillidae. The record is from RNAcentral.